This 448-nucleotide ribosomal RNA is filed under the name Burkholderia cepacia. RNAcentral's name for it is "bacterial SSU rRNA". It matches the Rfam family "Bacterial small subunit ribosomal RNA", at positions 30 to 485 of the family's 1533-position model. Lineage: Bacteria; Pseudomonadati; Pseudomonadota; Betaproteobacteria; Burkholderiales; Burkholderiaceae. The record is from RNAcentral.
AUUGAACGCUGGCGGCAUGCCUUACACAUGCGAGUCGAACGGCAGCACGGGUGCUUGCACCUGGUGGCGAGUGGCGAACGGGUGAGUAAUACAUCGGAACAUGUCCUGUAGUGGGGGAUAGCCCGGCGAAAGCCGGAUUAAUACCGCAUACGAUCUACGGAUGAAAGCGGGGGACCUUCGGGCCUCGCGCUAUAGGGUUGGCCGAUGGCUGAUUAGCUAGUUGGUGGGGUAAAGGCCUACCAAGGCGACGAUCAGUAGCUGGUCUGAGAGGACGACCAGCCACACUGGGACUGAGACACGGCCCAGACUCCUACGGGAGGCAGCAGUGGGGAAUUUUGGACAAUGGGCGAAAGCCUGAUCCAGCAAUGCCGCGUGUGUGAAGAAGGCCUUCGGGUUGUAAAGUACUUUUGUCCGGAAAGAAAUCCUUGGUUCUAAUAUAGCCGGGGGA